UACGGGGGGAGCAAGCGUUGUUCGGAUUUACUGGGCGUAAAGGGCGCGUAGGCGGCGCAACAAGUCACUUGUGAAAUCUCCGGGCUUAACCCGGAGCGGCCAAGUGAUACUGUCGUGCUAGAGUGCGGAAGGGGCUACUGGAAUCCUCGGUGUAGCGGUGAAAUGCGUAGAUAUCGAGAGGAACACCUGCGGCGAAGGCGGGUAGCUGGGCCGACACUGACGCUGAGGCGCGAAAGCCAGGGGAGCAAACGGG
RNAcentral lists this ribosomal RNA (253 nucleotides) under uncultured bacterium. RNAcentral's name for it is "partial 16S ribosomal RNA". It matches the Rfam family "Bacterial small subunit ribosomal RNA", at positions 524 to 776 of the family's 1533-position model. The record is from RNAcentral.